GAACAGGUGCUUAUGGUUUAUUGCCUGCAUUCCAAACAUUUGAUGAAAGAUCCGUGAGAAACGCCAUUUGUUUUUUCAAGAAGGUAUGUCCAUCCUUAUCACUUGGUUGCUUACUUUCAGUUCUCACUCAUGUCAAGGCAGUUUAGGUGCACCUAUAUUAAUUCUGAUCUGUCCAUUCCCUUGGGUAGGUUUGCUAAAAUGCUCGAGUGAUAAGUGGGAGUGGUUAGCUUACAAAAUUUUAUUUUGUUGGGUUCUGGUGGAGAUGUGCAUUAGUUAAUAUUGGAAAAGGCAAUUAUAUAUUCUAUGCUGAUUGGUAUAGUGAAUCAGGAAAUAAUAAAAAAAAUAGUGGGUUGUUGGGUUAACUGUGUUCUUUAUAUUCCUGCAUGUUUUUAAUGAAGAAACUAGGAGUGAGUCAAACAAAAUGAUAUUUUCUUCACCUCAUUUUGUGCCAAUCUUCAUAAACAAGGUUCUGACAUAUAACUUAUUCUAAAUUAAUUACGUUAACUGUAACACAUUUCUACUUACUCAAGAAUCAAAAUACACUUAGUCAGCUGUGUCUAAAUUUGUAGUUUCAUAGUUAGUUUGCUCUCCAUGUAAUAACAUUUUACUUCUGCUCGCAAAGGUCUCACAUGUGCUGCUGGCUAGAAUGUCAAAAUGACCCCGCAAAAAGAUAAUGCACCCUUCACCAUGUCACCGUCUAUCUCUCAUUUCCUUGACCCCAUUUUCCUGAAAGAUUGCAUAACACAAACGAGUGGGCGGCUCAGUUUUGUAGCUUCCAAUUAUACCCAUGUUAUCCGUAGGCAUUUCUUUCAUUGCCACCAGUUAUAUUCUUGUUGUCCAUGUACAACUGCGGCCUCAUUUUUGAGCAUUCAUUGCUACAAUGUCGCCAAGGUACGGUUUGGUUAUAACAUGCAAGUUCAUAGAGCCUCCUUUCUGCCUAUGACCAAUAAAUAAUAUUGACAGAUUAUCUACUCUUAAGAGGCUUGCUAAUUACUACUAGUAAAAAAUCAUAACACCUCUUUAAUUUUGGUUGCGGUAAAUUAAUUUUGUGUUGCAUAGUACUAUAACUUGGUCAACAAAUAUUUUGGUUGAAAUUGAUCCCUGAAGUUGUUUCUCUCUCCCUCUUUAUAUCCUAGUUUUUUAUUCUAUUUUUUGCUUCUCCUGGACAUGUGCAUGUAUCUUAGUGAUCUGUCAUUUUCUGGCGAGUUUCCGGCCUGUAAUUGUAGAAGUGAAAAGACUUGAAACUUUGGACCUUUAGGCCAGAAGAUUUUUUAGCCAAAUUCUAAGUUAAGCAAGACAUUUUUAGACAUUGAAAGUUUCGAGAUUUUCAGCUAAUCUGUUUACAAGAACAUGGUUAGUAAAUCUGUUGAUUGAAAACUAAUCCUAGGAGUUCCUUGAUUUGUUGGGUCGGUCUCUCUCUCUCUCUCUCUCUCUCUCUCUCUCUCUCUCUCUCUCUCUCUCUCUAAGUUAUGUUUUUUCUUCUGUUGGACAUAUGCAUACAUCAUAGGUGAGGUUUGGAUAGUGAGAUGAGAUGAGAUGAGAUGGUUUUAGAUGAAAGUUGAAUAAAAUAUUGUUAGAAUAUUAUUUUUUAAUAUAUUAUUGUUUUAGGAUUUGAAAAAGUUGAAUUCUUUAUUAUAUUUUUGGUGGGAAUUUGGAAGGGUUGAGAUAGUUGAGAUGAGUUGAAACCAUCUUUGUAUCCAAACCUAGCCUAAGUGAUAUGUCAUUUAACUAUCACAAAAUGGAAUAUCCACUUUCAAGAGUUGAACUAAAAAUUAGACAAAACGGCAAUUAAAGACAUAAUAAAUGGUGGAAACGCCGUUGGAUUAAGUUUUUACUUUUCGAAAGCGAGGAUCUGAGAGGUAUGGUAGGGUGGGUUUCCCCCCAAAACAACUAUUGAUAGAUACAAGGGUUUUUGAACUACUGGCGGAGGGUGUAGGAAUUGAGGGUAGGAAUUGGAAUCACAGGAGGGGACGAAGUUACCGUUGAGGAGAAGCAUGGGGAAAGACCUAGAUUUUAGAGAAUGACCGACUUUUCUCUAGCUCACAAAUCCAGAGCUUACACAAUUGGCAUGGAGGUGUUCUUCUCAAGGUAGUAGAGGGCACUUCUUUAUUUUAUUAUUAUUAUUUUUUAAUGGUUUGAAUCUGUAUUAGGCUUGAAAGUGAACUUAGCAAAUUGAGAAUUCGUUUUAAUCAGAAAUGUUUGUAAUGCGGAGGGCUUGGUAGCAUAUUAAGGUGUAAGGUAUCCUUCUAUUCUAUGACAUUAACCUCUCUUUGAUUUGCUCAGUCAAGACAAAAUUCAGAUUGGCUAGUUCAGAUAGUUUGAUUGAAAAGAUGAAGUUCAAAUAUGCUAGUUGGGAGAGAUUUAUUUGCUUAAUGGUGGAGGCUGGAGUAUCUUGACAAAAAUUACACAACCCAAGUUGCCCAUAUGUUUAGUCUUUGAGACUUGCUAUUACUCAACCUGACAUUAUUGGGAAAAUGGCUAGUGUUAUAAAUAGGAAAUUGGGGCUUUUUGGAAGGGUACAAAUAGACAAGGUUUUGUGGAGCUUGGAGUGGCUAAUGCUCAAAUGAGGGACAUGGACCAUAUGGGGGUUUGGGGUUGUGGAAGCAUUUAAGGAAGAGGAUGGGGGCUAUUUUUGGGCAUACUCAACUUGAGUUUGGGGAAGGAUUCGCAAUGAAAUUUUGGCACCAUUUAUGAUGUGGAGGCAAGUUCUCCAAGGAAGUGUUUCCAAAAGUGUGAGAUUGUGAGAGUGCAGGAAGCCUCAGUAGCUGAUAUUUUGAAAUGAGCAGUGGCUUAUCUCAAUGGAAUGUCAAUUCUUCAAAGAAGUACAAGACGAGGAAGUUGAUGCCUUCGAAGAGGAGCUUCUUAGUCAAUUGCACUCUUCUAAACUGAGAGUGGGAGACGAAGACAAGGCCCUUUCGUGCCCCUGAAGAAGGGGCACGUUCAUUGUUCGUUUAUUUUAUAAAGUUCUCGCAAACUCAUAUGUUAAUCGAUAUCCUUGGAGGAAUAUUUGGAAGACUUAGGCACCUCAAAGAGCAGAUUUUCUGUUUAGACUGCUUUCUCGUGGAAGAUUCUUAAAUUAUACAUGUGGCAGAUCUUCCCUAGAGAUAUAGUCUAAGCAAAGAAAGUCGCUUUCAAAUGGGCCUUUGCUCUUCAAAUUUUCUUCCACGGGAGUGUGUUGUUCAUUAUGACGUGACAAAGAAAGCGAACAUUGAACACCUUUUUCUUGGAUGGGGCCUAGAAAGUUGACUUCAACCUUUUCUUCUCAAAUUUGUGGAAUGCAAUAGGUGAAAAAACUAACUCGACAGUCGACGCUUCUACCUCCCAAGCUUGCGUUGCUUUGAUGAAGCUUCUAUUCCACUGAGAAGAGGCACCUGCAAUCUCCAAAUUGUUUACCGCUGAAGCAUCCUUGAUACAAGUUAUGCUUAACACCCUUGAGAAAACUUCCUUCGGAACCUAUCACCACACCACAAUUCCAAAAUAUGAUCUAGCUCCAUCUUACUCAUAAUUCCUUAUAAUGUUCCAUAAUGGCACCCCACCGCACCUUGAACCUCAUUAGAACAUAUUUCGCUUCACAAGUAUACAUAUUUGGAAUCUAUUAUAGUUCUCCCCAAUGCACCCCUCAUGUGGAUGUCGCCAAGUUCAUAUCACUAAUAAUGCAAGAUCAAACAAUAGCAAAUUCCGAAUCCCCAACACAACUUUUGAAAUAUGAAAGCAAACCUUUGCCCAACUUGCCAGAUGGUAUUUCCUCCUCGGAGCACCCUAAAGGAAGUCUCGCUUCACCUUCUCACUGUGAUUAGCCACAGUAAAAAAGGGCAUGAAACACCAUUGGAUUAAGUUUUUACUUUCCGAUAGCCAGGAUUUGAAAGGUAUGGUAGGGUGGGUUUCCUAAAACAACUGUUGAUAGAUACAAGGGUUUUUGAACUACUGCCGGAGGGUGUUCACACUUUAUGCCUGAUUGAGAGUAGGAAUUGGGAUCACAGGAGGGGAGGAAGUUACCGGUUAGGAGAAGCAUGGGGAAACACCUAGAUUUUAGAGAAUGACCAAAUUUUCUGUAGCUCACAAAUCCAGAGCUUACGUAAUUGGCAUGGAGGUGUUCUUCUCAAGGUAGUAAAGGGGCACUUCUUUAUUUUUUUAAUUUAAUUUUAUUUAAUGGUUUGGUCUGUGUCAGGCUUGAAAGUGAACUUAGCAAAUUGAGAAUUCGUUUUAAUCGGAAAUGUUUGUAAUGCGGAGGGCUUGGUAGCAUAUUGAGGUGUAAGGUAUCCUUCUUGCCUAGGACGUUAACCUCUGUUUGAUAUCCUUAGUCAAGACAAAGUUCAAAUUGGCUAGUUUGGAUGGUCUGAUUGAAAAGAUGAAGUUCAAAUAGGCUAGGUUGAAGAGAUUUAUUUGCUUAAUAGAGGCUGGAUUUAUCUUGGCCAAAACUACUCGAUCCAACUUGCCCAAAUGUUUUAUGUCUUUGAGACUUGCUAUUGCUCAAUCUGACAUUAUUGGGAAAACGUAAACAGGAAACGUGGGCUUUUUUGAAGGGUGUAAUAGACAAGGUUUUGUGAGGCUUGGAGUGGCUGAUGCUCGAACAAGGGACAUGGACCAGAUGGGGGUGUGUGGUUUUGGAAGCAUGUAAGGAAGAGGAUGGGGGCUAUUUUUGGGCAUACUCAACUUGAGUUUGGGGAAGGAUCCUCAAUUAAAUUUCAACACUAUUUAUGAUGUGGAGGUAAGGUCUCCAAGGAAUUGUUUCAAAAUGUGUGAGAUUGUGCGAGUGCAGGAAGCUUCAGUAGUGAGAUUGUGCGAGUGCAAGAAGCUUCAGUAGCUAAUAUUUUGGACUUAGCAGUGGUUUAUCUCAAUAGAAUUUCAAUUCUUCAAAGAAGUACAAGACGAGGAAGUUGAUGCGUUCGAAGAAUUUUCUUAGUUAAUUGCACUCUUCUAAACCGAGAGUGGGAGACGAAGUCAAGGCCCUUUCGUGACCCUAAAGAAGGAGCGUUCAUUUUUAAUUUAUUCUAUAAAGUUCUCGCAAACUCAUCAUAUGUUAAUCGAUAUCCUUGGAGGAAUAUUUGGAAGACUCAAGCACCUCUAAGAGCAGAUUUUCUGUUUAGACUGCUUUCUCGUGGAAGAUUCUUGAAUUAUAUGUGGCGGAUCUUCCCUAGAGAUACAGUCAAGGCAAAGAAAGUCACUUUCAAAGGGGCCUUUGCUCUCCAAAGUUUCUUCCAUGGGUGCUUAUUGUUUAUUAUGACGUGACAAAGAAAGCGAACGCUAAACAUCUUUUUCUUGGAUGGGCCCAGAAAGUUGACUUCAGCCCCUUCUCAAAUUUUUGGAGUGCAAUAGGUGAAAAAACUAACUUGACGCUUCUACCUCCCAGGCUUGCGCUGCUUCGAUGAAGCUUCUAUUCUACCGAGAAGAGGCACCUGCAAUCUCCAAAUUGUUCAUCGCUGAAGCAUCGUUAACUCAAGGUACGCUUAACACCUCUAUGAAAGCUUCCUUCGGAAGCUAUCACCACACCACAAAUAAUUCCAAAAUAUGAUUUAGCUCCAUCUUACCCAUAAUUCCCUAUAAUGUUCCAUAAUGGCACCCCACCACACCUUGAACCUCAUUAGAACAUAUUUCGCCUCACAAGCAUCCAUAUUUGGAAUCUAAUACAGUUCUCCCCAAUGCACCCCUCUCACGUGGAUGUCGCGAAGUUCAUAUCCCUAAUAAUGCAAGGUCAAACAAUAGCAAAUUUUGAUUCCUCAACACACCUUUUGAAAUACAAAAAGCAAACCUUUGCCCAACUUGCCAGAUGGUAUUUCCUCCCUAUAACACCCCAAAGGAAGUCUCGCUUCACCUUCUCACUGUGAUUAGCCACAGUAAAAGCAGGUGGAAACGAAGGGCAUGAAAGCGAGACAGAGUUGAAACCAACACUCACAAUGAAAUAUACAAACAAAAGAGGUUAACUUCAGCGAUGUUUGUGAUGGCUAUUAGAAAGCGAGAUAGAGUUGAAACCAACACUCACAAUGAAAUACUGAAAGUAUUGAAUGGAAUGAGUUUUAAUGACUUUUAUGCUACUUUCCGUAGCACGUAGCUUGUAAUUAGGCUCUUUCUUGUAUACUUCCUGUAUACUCAGGUUUUGCCUUUUUACGUGGAUCAAUAAAAUCUCUUUACCUAUCAAAAAAAAUGAAAUACUGAAAGAUUUUUCUCACAAAUCAACCUUCUCUAUGCUGAACUACCAAAACUUAAUUCAGCUUCAGGGAAUUUUAUAUGUUGCAAACAGACUUUAACAUGAUACACAUUGCUGCUGUGUGCCCCAUCAUGCGUAGUUAUAAUACACAUUGUUUAUAGCUUUUGUGCAUCUCUUAAUGUGGUUUUCUGUUGUGUUUAUUGCUUUGCUAUGUGAAUGGAAAACGCAUCAAGAAACUACCCUGUGAUAUUUGCUAUGUGUGGGCUUGGUGGGACCUUUCCAAUAUGGCAGUUCUGAAAACAAACGGUUAAGUUGUUUUCCUUUUAUCUUGUUGAAAUGGAUGAGUGUUCAUCAAAGAUUACGAACAAUUACAAUGAGGUAAAUUUAUUUUUCCUUUUGUUCUUUUUGUCUUUCUACUAAGUAAGAAGUUGGUAGUUACUGUCGUCUUGAAUAACUAUCACAUUUUUUCACUAAAUGACAUUGACGGAGCAUGGGUUUUUAUUUAGGGGAGCUGGAUGAAGUUGUAGAAGAAAAUCUUCAAAAACAACUCUGAACAAACGAAUUAUGAAUUACAAAUGAAUUAUUAUUUAGAGGGGCUGGAACUAAUCUAUGUGGGUUUUUUUUUUUUUUGAAUGCCUAUGACUUCGUUGAGUGAAAAGAAAUUGACCAUAGAAAAGAGCUGUUACUUUCUUGUGGAGUUGUGGGAAAACCCUGGAACUGGAAAAAGAAGGGAAAGUUUGAGAUUGAAUUGGUAUUUCAGAUUUAAAAGAAUUUGGUGCAAAGCUCGAAAAGAAGGUUGCGCUCCUUUAAAAUCCUUUUGACAUUUUGCAGGUUUCUUUGGGGAUUUUCUUAAAUAAUAAAUUGGUAUGGUUGCGAUGCAUUUGCCCACAAAACGAUAUUUCACCUGUUGAGAUAGCUACAAUCAUGCUACAUGUCAUCUUUAUCAUGGUUACUCCAUCCACUAGUUUUGCCAGUGCCAGUGUCUUUCUUGUAUACUUAGGUAGAGUACCAUUACAAAUGUACUAAUAAAUUAUGCAACCAUUUUAUGCUUUGCCAUUUAUUUUCGUUUGUAUUUAAAGAAAUUGUUUUAAUUAAUGCUCGAAACAUAUCAUCAUUUUUUUCCACUGCAAGUGACAACUCAAUUUUUAUUCUGGCUGCUUUAUACCAAAUUCAUUUAUUCUGUAUGGAGGAUAUAGCUUCUUGACUUAAAACCAUCCUGCACUUGUUUUGAUAACUUAUUUUGGCUUUUCAUGAAAAUGCAAGGCAAACAAUUCUCUUGAUUAUAGUGGAUUUCUCUGCAUUGUGGGCUCUCAUGUAUGUUUCAGCACUCUUUUUUUUUUUUUUUUUUUUUUUUUUUUUUUUUUUUUUGCAAAAUAAUUUUUGGGAUGCCAUCUAUUUUAUUUCUCUACAAUCAUUUUUCAAUUAUUUUUAUUUUCAUCUAUUCUCGCUUUUAACUGGGGAUGAGAUCCUAUUGCAGCGCCACCAGUGCUAUCGGUUUAGCAAUUACAAACCAGGUUAUCUACUGGCUAACUACUAGUACAAAAAAAUUAUAACACCUCUUUAAUUUUGGUUGUGGUUAAUUAAUUUUGAUAUAAUUUUGUGUUGCAUGGUACCAUAACUUGGUCAGCAAAUCUUUUGGUCGAAAUUGGUCCCUGAAGUUGUUACUCUCUCCCUCUUUUUUUCCUAGUUUACUUUCUAUUUUUUGCUUUUCUUGGACGUGCGCAUGCAUCUUAGCGAUCUGUCAUUUUCUGGUGAGUUUUCGGCCUGUAAUCGUAGAAGCGAAAGUUUCGAGAUUUUAGGACAUGGUCAGUAAGUCUGUUGGUUUAAAACUGAUGCUAGGAGUUCCUUAUUUUUUGGGUCUCUCUCUCUAAUUUUGUUUUUUCUUUUGUUGGGCAUAUGCAUGCAUCUUAGAGAUCUGUCGUUUAGCUAUCACAAAAUGGCAUGUCCACUUUCAAAAGUUGAUCUAAACAUGCUAUAUCAUUUGGACAUGUUUUCUGGUCUUUUUUACUCAUUAUAUGCUGUAUCAUUUGGAAAUGAGAUGAGGGAUAGGCUGUCAUGGAAUCCAAGUGGAAAUAAAAAGUUCUCGGUGCGGUCCCUUUAUUUGGCUCUCUUGGAUUUAUACCAUGGUCAUAGCUAUUCUUGAAAGGCUAUUUGGAAGUGCAAGGUACCUUCCAAAAUUGCAUUCUUUGUCUGGACAACAUCUAUUGGGCGGAUUCUUACCUUGGAUAACUUGAGAAAACAUGGGUUCAUUAUUUUAGAUUGGUGUUAUAUGUGUAAGUGUAAUGGGGAAUCAGUUGAUCAUCUCUUAUUACACUGUGAAGUGGCCCAGUGUUUAUGGUAUGGAGUUUUUAAUAGGAUAGGGGUGGCAUGGGUCAUGCCAAGAAGUGUUCAGGAUCUUAUGUGCUGGUGGAAAGGUAUCCGGGGAAAUGCUCUAAUCGUUGCUGUGUGGUGAAUGAUACCUCACUGCAUUAUGUGGUGUGUAUGUGGUUGGAGAGAAACAAGAGGUGUUUUGAAGAUAUGGAGCACUCUAUGGCUGAACUGAAACGUUUUUUUCUACAGUACACUGCUUUCCUGGGCUUCGGCCAUUAUUUGUAACACAGAUGAUCUCCAUACUUUGCUUGUAACUCUCACUAAUACUUAGUUGUAACCUGGCAUGUUCUUUGUAUAGUGUAAUCAGGCUAUGCCUCUUUUAUUAAUAAAACUUACUUUUACCUAUCAAAAAAAGAAAAAAACAUUAGACAAAAUGGCAACUGAAGGCAUAAAAAAUGGUGGAAAUGCCACUGGAUUGAGUUUUUAUUUUCUGAUAGCUAGGAUCUGAGAGGGAAGUGUACAAAUUUCAUCUUCUAAAUUGGGCAAGGGUAAGCACUUCGUCUAGGGAGGGUUCAGAGUUUGAGACUUGCUAUUGCUCAAUCCACAGUAUUGGGAAAAUGGCUAGUGAUAUAAACAAGAAACGAGGGGCUUUGUGGAAGGGUGUAAUAGAUAAGGAUUUUUGGAGCUCAGAGUGGCUGGUGCUCGAAUGAGAGGCUUGGACCAGAUGGGUUGUGGGGUUUUGGAAGCAUGUAAGAAAGAGGAUGGAGGCUAUUUUUGGGAAUACUCAACUUGAGUUUGGAGAAGGAUCCGCAAUCAGAUUUUGGCAAUUUAUGAUGUGGAGGUAAGGUCUUCAAGGAAGCAUUUCCAAAAGUGUGAGAUUGUGCAGGUGCAGGAAGCCUUAGUAGCUGAUAUUUCAGAAUUAGUAGUAGUUUUUCUCAAUCCAAUGUUAAUUCUUCAAAUAAGUACAAGACGAGGAAGUUGAUGCCUUCAAAGAAUUUCUUAGUAAAUUGCACUCUUCUAAACCGCAAGUUGGAGACGAAGACAAGGCCCUUUUGUGCCCCUAAAGGAGUAUGCAUUGUUCGUUUAUUCUAUCAGGUUCUGGCAAAGUCGUGUUAAUCGAUAUCCCUGGAGGAAUAUUUAGAAGACUUAUCUGCUAAGUUAGAAGUUGGUACUUAUUGUGUCUUGAAUCACCACCGCACCUUUUUUCAUUGAAAGACCAUGACGGAGCAAGGUUUUUCAUUUAUGGGGUGCUGGAUGAAGUUGUAGAUUAAAAUCUUUAAAAAUAACUCUAAUGAAUUAUGAUUACAUCUUAAAGUUCUUGAGCGAAAACAUCAUUUUAUUGUGCUUUUUGUUUCUAAAAAUUAUAACAUCACAGAAAAUAUAAAUAUAAAUAUAUUUGUUAGUUUUUAA
Long non-coding RNA from Carya illinoinensis, 9865 nucleotides. RefSeq lists it as uncharacterized. Lineage: Eukaryota; Viridiplantae; Streptophyta; Magnoliopsida; Fagales; Juglandaceae. The record is from RefSeq and is a predicted model, not a curated record. The transcript has 2 exons.